Molecule: ribosomal RNA, 418 nt
Filed under: uncultured bacterium
Lineage: Bacteria
Description: bacterial SSU rRNA
Rfam family: Bacterial small subunit ribosomal RNA
Source: RNAcentral
AGUGAACGCUGGCGGCAGGCCUAACACAUGCAAGUCGAGCGGCAGCGCGUCCGACCACCCUCGGGUGGUCGGAUGGCGGCGAGCGGCGGACGGGUGAGGAAUGCAUCGGAAUCUGCCUCGUUGUGGGGGAUAACGUAGGGAAACUUACGCUAAUACCGCAUACGACCUACGGGUGAAAGUGGGGGACCGUUCGGGCCGUCACGCGAUGAGAUGAGCCGAUGCCGGAUUAGCUAGUUGGCGGGGUAAAGGGACCCGACCAACGGCGACGAUCCGUAGCUGGUCUGAGAGGAUGAUCAGCCACACUGGAACUGAGACACGGUCCAGACUCCUACGGGAGGCAGCAGUGGGGAAUAUUGGACAAUGGGGGCGAACCCUGAUCCAGCCAUGCCGCGUGUGUGAAGAAGGCCUCGGUUGUAAG